GGGGCUGUAGCUCAGUUGGUUAGAGCAAAUCGCUCAUAACGAUAAGGUCGUAGGUUCAAGUCCUACCAGCCCUA
Molecule: transfer RNA, 74 nt
Filed under: Ehrlichia sp. JZT12
Lineage: Bacteria; Pseudomonadati; Pseudomonadota; Alphaproteobacteria; Rickettsiales; Anaplasmataceae
Description: tRNA-Met
Rfam family: tRNA
About the family: Transfer RNA (tRNA) molecules are approximately 80 nucleotides in length. Their secondary structure includes four short double-helical elements and three loops (D, anti-codon, and T loops).
Source: RNAcentral